This 248-nucleotide ribosomal RNA is filed under the name uncultured bacterium. RNAcentral's name for it is "partial small subunit ribosomal RNA". It matches the Rfam family "Bacterial small subunit ribosomal RNA", at positions 26 to 288 of the family's 1533-position model. The record is from RNAcentral.
AGGACGAACGCUGGCGGCGUGCUUAACACAUGCAAGUCGAGCGAACCUUCGGGUUAGCGGCGAACGGGUGAGUAACACGUGGGCAACCUGCCCCGAGCUCUGGGAUAACUCCGGGAAACCGGGGCUAAUACCGGAUAUGACCCGAGAAGACAUCUUCUCGGGUGGAAAGUUUUUUCGGCUCGGGAUGGGCCCGCGGCCUAUCAGCUUGUUGGUGGGGUAACGGCCUACCAAGGCGACGACGGGUAGCC